UCUGGACCUCUGAAAUAGAGAACACGUAAAGCAGACCGCUAAAGUAUUUUAGGCGUUUAGCAUGUCCAUUUAUGUAUGUUUACUGGAAUCAUAUGAUUUGAUUAUUAAAAUAUAUAGUGUGAAAUAGAUAUAUAAAACAUAUUCACUAAUGUUAGAACUAUUUCUGUAGAUAUUGGAGAUUGAUGGGUACAUUUCCUGGUACUGUCCUCUGUAAUUUACCAAAUUUAAAUGGUAUCCACAUGUUCCAU
Pelobates cultripes (western spadefoot toad) is the source of this 248-nucleotide non-coding RNA. Lineage: Eukaryota; Metazoa; Chordata; Amphibia; Anura; Pelobatidae. The record is from the annotation of a GenBank genome assembly.